RNAcentral lists this ribosomal RNA (226 nucleotides) under uncultured bacterium. RNAcentral describes it as "partial 16S ribosomal RNA". It matches the Rfam family "Bacterial small subunit ribosomal RNA", at positions 538 to 763 of the family's 1533-position model. The record is from RNAcentral.
GCGUUACUCGGAAUUACUAGGCGUAAAGCGCAGGUAGGCGGUUGGAUAAGUUUCUUGUGAAAGCUCCCGGCUUAACUGGGAGAGGCCAAGGAAUACUAUCCGACUUGAGUAUGGUAGGGGUAACUGGAAUUCCCGGUGUAGCGGUGAAAUGCGUAGAUAUCGGGAGGAAUACCUAUGGCGAAGGCAGGUUACUGGGCCAUUACUGACGCUGAGCUGCGAAAGCUAG